GGCGUAAAGCGCAUGCAGGUGGUCUAUUAAGUCAUAUGUGAAAGCCCCCAGCUCAACUGGGGAACGACGUAUGAAACUGACGGACUAGAGUACUGUAGAGGGGGGUAGAAUUUC
This 114-nucleotide ribosomal RNA is filed under the name uncultured bacterium. RNAcentral's name for it is "partial 16S ribosomal RNA". It matches the Rfam family "Bacterial small subunit ribosomal RNA", at positions 557 to 670 of the family's 1533-position model. The record is from RNAcentral.